This 491-nucleotide ribosomal RNA is filed under the name uncultured bacterium. RNAcentral's name for it is "partial 16S ribosomal RNA". It matches the Rfam family "Bacterial small subunit ribosomal RNA", at positions 28 to 507 of the family's 1533-position model. The record is from RNAcentral.
GAUGAACGCUAGCUACAGGCUUAACACAUGCAAGUCGAGGGGAAACGAUGAGAGAGCUUGCUCUCUUAGUCGUCGACCGGCGCACGGGUGAGUAACGCGUAUCCAACCUGCCUCUGACCAAGGGAUAACCCGUCGAAAGUCGGACUAAUACCUUAUGCAGUCGUCGGAAGUCAUCUGAUGACGACGAAAGAUUUCAUCGGUGAGAGAUGGGGAUGCGUCUGAUUAGCUUGUUGGCGGGGUAACGGCCCACCAAGGCGACGAUCAGUAGGGGUUCUGAGAGGAAGGUCCCCCACAUUGGAACUGAGACACGGUCCAAACUCCUACGGGAGGCAGCAGUGAGGAAUAUUGGUCAAUGGGCGUAAGCCUGAACCAGCCAAGUAGCGUGCAGGAUGACGGCCCUAUGGGUUGUAAACUGCUUUUAUGCGGGGAUAAAGCGAGGGACGUGUCCUUCAUUGCAGGUACCGCAUGAAUAAGGACCGGCUAAUUCCGUG